CUCUGCAACCCGAGUACAUGAAGCUGGAAUCNCUAGUAAUCGCGAAUCAGAAUGUCGCGGUGAAUACGUUCCCGGGUCUUGUACACACCGCCCGUCACACCAUGGGAGAUGGAUAUGCCCAAAGUCAGUGACCUAACCGCAAGGGAGGAGCUGCCUAAGGUGGAGCCAUUAACUGGGGUGAAGUCGUAACAAGGUACC
Molecule: ribosomal RNA, 198 nt
Filed under: uncultured bacterium
Lineage: Bacteria
Description: partial 16S ribosomal RNA
Rfam family: Bacterial small subunit ribosomal RNA
Source: RNAcentral